GAUGAAGAACGCAGCAAAAUGCGAUAAGUAAUGUGAAUUGCAGAAUUCAGUGAAUCAUCGAAUCUUUGAACGCACAUUGCGCCCGCCAGCAUUCUGGCGGGCAUGCCUGUUCGAGCGUCAUUUCAACCCUCGAGCCCCCCCGGGGGCCUCGGUGUUGGGGGACGGCACACCAGCCGCCCCCGAAAUGCAGUGGCGACCUCGCCGCAGCCUCCCCUGCGUAGUAGCACACACCUCGCACCGGAGCGCGGAGACGGUCACGCCGUAAAACGCCCAACUUCUUAGAGUUGACCUCGGAUCAGGUAGGAAUACCCGCUGAACUUAAGCAUAUCAAUAAGCGGAGGA
Molecule: unclassified non-coding RNA, 342 nt
Filed under: soil metagenome
Description: partial contains 5.8S ribosomal RNA, internal transcribed spacer 2, and large subunit ribosomal RNA
Rfam family: 5.8S ribosomal RNA (bases 1-120)
Source: RNAcentral